RNAcentral lists this transfer RNA (83 nucleotides) under Caudoviricetes sp. RNAcentral's name for it is "tRNA-Ser". It matches the Rfam family "tRNA". From Rfam's summary of the family: Transfer RNA (tRNA) molecules are approximately 80 nucleotides in length. Their secondary structure includes four short double-helical elements and three loops (D, anti-codon, and T loops). Lineage: Duplodnaviria; Heunggongvirae; Uroviricota; Caudoviricetes. The record is from RNAcentral.
GGAGACAUGGCGUAAAGGUAGCGCAGUACCCUGCUAAGGUAUCCUAGAGCAAUCUAGUUUGGGUUCGAUUCCCAAUGUCUCCG